GGAGAUCUAGCUCAGUUGGUAGAGUGCUUGUCCCACAUGCACAAGGCCCUGGGUUCAAUCCCCAGCACCACCC
Molecule: transfer RNA, 73 nt
Filed under: Ictidomys tridecemlineatus (thirteen-lined ground squirrel)
Lineage: Eukaryota; Metazoa; Chordata; Mammalia; Rodentia; Sciuridae
Description: Spermophilus tridecemlineatus (thirteen-lined ground squirrel) tRNA
Rfam family: tRNA
About the family: Transfer RNA (tRNA) molecules are approximately 80 nucleotides in length. Their secondary structure includes four short double-helical elements and three loops (D, anti-codon, and T loops).
Source: Rfam by way of RNAcentral